This 326-nucleotide long non-coding RNA is filed under the name Homo sapiens (human). RNAcentral's name for it is "non-protein coding lnc-KIF16B-10:1". Lineage: Eukaryota; Metazoa; Chordata; Mammalia; Primates; Hominidae. The record is from RNAcentral.
GAGAACACCGUGGAGGAGACAGGCAAGAAGAAGCAGGGCAUGCGGGAGAAAGAAUGUACUCUCCCUGAGACAGUGGAGAAGGAAAAGCUAAAGGCCAAAUAUCCAAGCCUAGGACAAAGGCCUGGGGGCCCAGCUUCCUUAUGAAGGGACUCCGAAAAGGGAAAAAGUACUUUGCCUCAGGAGACUACAACAUGGCCAAAGCCAAAUAGGAGAAUAAGCAGCUGCCAAGUGCACAACCAGACAAGAACCUGAUGACUGGUGACCACAUCCCCACCACACAGGAUCUGCCCAGAAAAUCCUCACUCAUCACCAGCAAGCCAGCGGGU